Molecule: ribosomal RNA, 929 nt
Filed under: Eucephalobus striatus
Lineage: Eukaryota; Metazoa; Nematoda; Chromadorea; Rhabditida; Cephalobidae
Description: SSU rRNA
Rfam family: Eukaryotic small subunit ribosomal RNA
Source: RNAcentral
AAAGAUUAAGCCAUGCAUGUUUAAGUAUAAACGAUUGAAUCGUGAAACCGCGAAUGGCUCAUUAUAACAGCUAACAAAUCUACUUGAUCUUGACACAAUCCUACUUGGAUAACCGUGGUAAUUCUAGAGCUAAUACAUGCAUUAAAGCUCUGACCUUCGGGGAAGAGUGCAUUUAUUAGAACAAAACCAAGCGGCUUCGGCUGUUUUCGGUUGACUCAUAGUAACUGAGCUGAUCGCAUGGUCUUGCACCGGCGACGUGUCUUUCGAGUAUCUGCCGUAUCAACUUUCGAUGGUAGUGUAUCUGACUACCAUGGUGAUCACGCGUAACGGAGAAUAAGGGUUCGACUCCGGAGAGUUCGCCUGAGAAAUCGCGAACGCAUCUAAGGAAGGCAGCAGGCGCGAAAAUUACCCACUCUCAGCACGAGGAGGUAGUGACGAAAAAUAACGAGACCGUUCUCUUAUGAGGCCGGUCAUCGGAAUGGGUACAAUUUAAACCCUUUAACGAGUAUCUAUGAGAGGGCAAGUCUGGUGCCAGCAGCCGCGGUAAUUCCAGCUCUCAAAGUGCAUAGAAUUAUUGCUGCGGUUAAAAAGCUCGUAGUUGGAUCUGUGCCAUAGGACUGGGUCUACCUUCGGGUCAGUACUCAGCUCCUAGGCUUUUUGUCGGUUUUCCCGUCGUAGCCUUCACUGGUUGCGGCGGGUGGCUGACGAGUUUACUUUGAGAAAAUCAGAGUGCUCAACACAGGCGUCUAGCUUGAAUGAUUGUGCAUGGAAUAAUAGAAAAGGAUUUCGGUCCUCUUUUAUUGGUUUUGUGGACUGAGAUAAUGGUUAACAGGGACAAACGGGGGGCAUUCGUAUCGAUGCGUGAGAGGUGAAAUUCUUGGGACCGUAUCGAAGACGCCCUACAGCGAAAAGCAUUUUGCCGAAGAAUG